UCCUUCAUCAAAUAAUCAGUUAAAUAUUUGUACCUUUGGUCAUUUUAAUGCUCGGGCUCGUUUCUGGCUUGAUGUUCUUUUGAGGUGUAGUUCAACUUGGGGGGUGCACAAUGGACUGCAGCAAGGGGUCAUUGACCUAUUUGGUUUGGAAGUGUUUUGUCAAACUUAUUUGGAUUUUCAAUGCUACUUAUAGUUCUUCCCAACUUUGAUGAAUUUUUUAAAUAUUUGUACCUUUGGCCAUAUUAAUGCUCGGGCUCGAUGUUCUUUUGAGGUGUAGUUCAACUUGGGGCGUGCACAAUGGACUGCAGCAGGGGGUCAUUGACCUAUUUGGUUUGGAAGCAUUUUCUCAAACUUAUCUGGAUUUUCAAUGCUUCUCAUAGUUCUUCCCCACUUUGAUGAAUUUUGCAAUAUUGUGGUUCACAGGUUAGCAAGAGGUCUAACGAACGUUAUUGAUCGGUUUGAAUGAUACGAUAAGUUAUCAUAUUGAUCUAUUGCUUAAUAUUUGUUUUUCCGAUUAUUUAUCGUUGGUAUGUCUGUCAUGACUUGAUGUACUUCGGAUUGUUGAUUCGAUUUCUGCUGCUGCUUUUGGAUGUGUUUUGGUUGACUGACAUGGAUCAAUUUGAUAAUACGUGUUUGGUUAUCUUAA
Molecule: long non-coding RNA, 646 nt
Organism: Ipomoea nil (Japanese morning glory)
Lineage: Eukaryota; Viridiplantae; Streptophyta; Magnoliopsida; Solanales; Convolvulaceae
Exons: 2
Source: RefSeq, a predicted model, not a curated record